This 482-nucleotide ribosomal RNA is filed under the name uncultured bacterium. RNAcentral describes it as "partial 16S ribosomal RNA". It matches the Rfam family "Bacterial small subunit ribosomal RNA", at positions 30 to 507 of the family's 1533-position model. The record is from RNAcentral.
AUUGAACGCUGGCGGCAUGCCUUACACAUGCAAGUCGAACGGUAACGGGCCUUCGGGUGCCGACGAGUGGCGAACGGGUGCGUAAUACAUCGGAACGUGCCCGAUCGUGGGGGAUAACGAGGCGAAAGCUUUGCUAAUACCGCAUACGAUCUACGGAUGAAAGCAGGGGACCGCAAGGCCUUGCGCGGACGGAGCGGCCGAUGGCAGAUUAGGUAGUUGGUGGGAUAAAAGCUUACCAAGCCGACGAUCUGUAGCUGGGCUGAGAGGAUGAUCAGCCACACUGGGACUGAGACACGGCCCAGACUCCUACGGGAGGCAGCAGUGGGGAAUUUUGGACAAUGGGCGCAAGCCUGAUCCAGCCAUGCCGCGUGCAGGAUGAAGGCCUUCGGGUUGUAAACUGCUUUUGUACGGAACGAAAAGCCUUCUUUUAAUACAGGAGGGUCAUGACGGUACCGUAAGAAUAAGCACCGGCUAACUACGUG